This 209-nucleotide ribosomal RNA is filed under the name uncultured bacterium. RNAcentral describes it as "partial 16S ribosomal RNA". It matches the Rfam family "Bacterial small subunit ribosomal RNA", at positions 29 to 233 of the family's 1533-position model. The record is from RNAcentral.
AACGAACGCUGGCGGCGUGGAUUAGGCAUGCAAGUCGAGCGAGAAAGGGGUAGCAAUAUCCUGAGUAAAGCGGCGAACUGGUGAGUAACAGGUGGGCGAUGUUCCCUGAAGUUGGGGAUAACUCCGAGAAAUCGGAGCUAAUACCGAAUGUGGCCCUCGGGAUUUCGGUCCGGAGGGUUAAAGACGUAAUUCGCUUUAGGAUCGGCCCG